This 253-nucleotide ribosomal RNA is filed under the name uncultured bacterium. RNAcentral describes it as "partial 16S ribosomal RNA". It matches the Rfam family "Bacterial small subunit ribosomal RNA", at positions 524 to 776 of the family's 1533-position model. The record is from RNAcentral.
UACGUAGGGUGCGAGCGUUAAUCGGAAUUACUGGGCGUAAAGCGUGCGCAGGCGGUGAUGUAAGACAGGUGUGAAAUCCCCGGGCUUAACCUGGGAACUGCAUUUGUGACUGCAUCGCUGGAGUGCGGCAGAGGGGGAUGGAAUUCCGCGUGUAGCAGUGAAAUGCGUAGAUAUGCGGAGGAACACCGAUGGCGAAGGCAAUCCCCUGGGCCUGUACUGACGCUCAUGCACGAAAGCGUGGGGAGCAAACAGG